RNAcentral lists this long non-coding RNA (361 nucleotides) under Macaca mulatta (Rhesus monkey). RNAcentral describes it as "lncRNA (ENSMMUG00000059579.1)". Lineage: Eukaryota; Metazoa; Chordata; Mammalia; Primates; Cercopithecidae. The record is from RNAcentral.
CAUAAAGGAAAUUGAUUUUUAUUUUCAAAGUCAAUGGUGAGUAAAUGAACAAUGGUUGCCAGGCAACCUGUGAGCAGGGAUUGAGUAGAGACUAAAGCAAACAGCAGCCUCCACCCCCCAUCCCAGGAACCCAGAGCCUCUCAGGCCUUGUGCUUCCAGCCUGGGACUCCUGGCACCCUGGGGGAGGGCUGUGCCUUCAGGACUCGCCUUAGACCGGGAGGAGCCAUGGAAGGAUUUUUCUGGAGAGGAGGAGUGGAGGUAAAUCUACAAUUCAGCACCUCUCCCUCCACACAGUGGACGGAUUGAGGGGUGAUUGAUUGGCAGGGGAGGUGCUCUAGUUUCCGUCAGGAAAGGAAACCCU